Molecule: ribosomal RNA, 425 nt
Filed under: uncultured bacterium
Lineage: Bacteria
Description: bacterial SSU rRNA
Rfam family: Bacterial small subunit ribosomal RNA
Source: RNAcentral
GGGCCCGCACAAGCGGUGGAGCAUGUGGUUUAAUUCGAUGAUACGCGAGGAACCUUACCAGGGCUUAAAUGUAAGUUGCAUAAGCUAGAGAUAGCUUUUUCUUCGGACUACUUACAAGGUGCUGCAUGGUUGUCGUCAGCUCGUGCCGUGAGGUGUCAGGUUAAGUCCUAUAACGAGCGCAACCCCCAUCGUUAGUUGCCAGCGAGUAAUGUCGGGAACUCUAACAAGACUGCCGGUGCAAACCGUGAGGAAGGUGGGGAUGACGUCAAAUCAUCACGGCCCUUACGUCCUGGGCUACACACGUGCUACAAUGGUCGGUACAGAGAGCAGCCACUACGCGAGUAGGAGCAAAUCCACAAAACCGGGCCCAGUUCGGAUUGGAGUCUGCAACUCGACUCCAUGAAGUUGGAAUCGCUAGUAAUGGC